UACAGUGGGUGCAAGCGUUAAUCGGAAUUAUUGGGCGUAAAGGGCGUGUAGGCGGAUGAAUAAGUUGGAUGUGAACUACUCGGGCUUAACCUGGGGGCUGCAUUCAAAACUGUUUGUCUAGAGUACGGUAGAGGGAGGUAGAAUUUCAGGUGUAGCGGUGAAAUGCGUAGAUAUCUGAAGGAAUACCGGUGGCGAAGGCGACCUCCUGGACCGAUACUGACGUUGAGGCGCGAAAGCGUGGGGAGCAAACAGG
Molecule: ribosomal RNA, 253 nt
Filed under: uncultured bacterium
Lineage: Bacteria
Description: partial 16S ribosomal RNA
Rfam family: Bacterial small subunit ribosomal RNA
Source: RNAcentral